This 665-nucleotide long non-coding RNA is filed under the name Gallus gallus (chicken). Its description in RNAcentral is "long non-coding RNA NONGGAT011940". The record is from RNAcentral. Lineage: Eukaryota; Metazoa; Chordata; Aves; Galliformes; Phasianidae.
AGUGGUUACAACUAUAUACUCCGAAGGCCAGGGAAAGUGCAUCCUUUGCCUUGGAAAUCGUCUUGAUCAUCCCCUAACUGGAGUGGAGAAAAACAGUCAGUUUUCAGAGGUCGACAAUUCUGAGAUCUCCCUGCAAGCUGCAUGGUAUGAAGCAUCCCCAAGUUCCACCAUCUAAUUCUUUUUAGCACCAAAACAUCCUAAGGUAGAAAGUCCUCAAGUUGUACACUAAGACCUGAACACCAAAGCAGGACAAUGGACUACUGUGCAAGUAUUGUUGUAAAAUGAAAAGACCAUUGUAUCCACUGCAAUUGUUAGCAAAACUGAAUUCCAAAGGGAUCUUUUGUGUCACAAACAAUCUCUUCAAACACUGAAGAAUAGCUGUCAGUUGCAGAGAGAAAUUGAAGGUUUUUGAUGUUGUUGUUUCUUACUUGAUCUUCCCCCAAAAAACCCUGUCAUCUGCAGGAACUUGUGCAGGUGCCAUCCAUUCUCUACAUGGUCAUCUUGCCAGUUCUCUUGCCAGCUCUGCACCAGCAGGCAUUGCCACACCAUUCACCAAAAAGUGACCUGUCUUCUGCAUGCUCUCCUACAGGAAAGCAUACCUUGGCUUGGUGGGAUACACAACCCUAAUCACACCAGCAUCUUUGUCUUCUUGUGCAAAGUUUGAA